CCUACGGGUGGCUGCAGUGAGGAAUAUUGGUCAAUGGGCGCGAGCCUGAACCAGCCAAGUAGCGUGAAGGAUGACUGCCCUACGGUUUGUAAACUUCUUCUAUAAAGGAAUAAAGUGAGGCACGUGUGCCUUUUUGCAUGUACUUUAUGAAUAAGGAUCGGCUAACUCCGUGCCAGCAGCCGCGGUAAUACGGAGGGUCCGAGCGUUAUCCGGAUUUAUUGGGUUUAAAGUGAGCGUAGAUGGGUUGUUAAGUCAGUUGUGAAGGUUUGCGGCUCAACCGUAAAAUUGCAAUUGAUACUGGCAGUCUUGAGUACAGUAGAGGUAGGCGGAAUUCGUGGUGUAGCGGUGAAAUGCUUAGAUAUCACGAAGAACUCCGAUUGCGAAGGCAGCUUACUAGACUGCCACUGACAUUGAUGCUCGAAAGUGUGGGUAGCAAACAGGAUUAGAUACCCGUGUAGUC
RNAcentral lists this ribosomal RNA (460 nucleotides) under uncultured bacterium. Its description in RNAcentral is "partial 16S ribosomal RNA". It matches the Rfam family "Bacterial small subunit ribosomal RNA", at positions 338 to 795 of the family's 1533-position model. The record is from RNAcentral.